Molecule: ribosomal RNA, 2512 nt
Filed under: Lysobacteraceae bacterium JGI 0001002-F18
Lineage: Bacteria; Pseudomonadati; Pseudomonadota; Gammaproteobacteria; Lysobacterales; Lysobacteraceae
Description: bacterial LSU rRNA
Rfam family: Bacterial large subunit ribosomal RNA
Source: RNAcentral
UCAAGCGAAUAAGUGCAUGUGGUGGAUGCCUUGGCAAUGAUAGGCGAUGAAGGACGUGACAGCCUGCGAUAAGCUGCGGGGAGCCGGCAAAUGGGCGCUGAUCCGCAGAUUUCCGAAUGGGGAAACCCGGCCCUUUUAGGGUCACCUCGCUCUGAAUACAUAGGAGCGAAGGAGCGAACCCGGAGAACUGAAACAUCUCAGUAACCGGAGGAACAGAAAUCAACCGAGAUUCCCGGAGUAGUGGCGAGCGAAACGGGAAGAGCCUUCGAGAUUUAGCACGCGCGCAAGCGGAACGCUCUGGAAAGUGCGGCCGUAGUGGGUGAUAGCCCCGUACGCGAAAGCCCGUGUGUGGAACCAAGCUCGAGACAAGUAGGGCGGGACACGUGAAAUCCUGUCUGAAGAUGGGGGGACCAUCCUCCAAGGCUAAAUACUCAUCAUUGACCGAUAGUGAACCAGUACCGUGAGGGAAAGGCGAAAAGAACCCCGGGAGGGGAGUGAAAUAGAUCCUGAAACCGCAUGCAUACAAACAGUCGGAGCUGGAGCAAUCUGGUGACGGCGUACCUUUUGUAUAAUGGGUCAGCGACUUACGUUGCGUAGCGAGCUUAAGGCUUGAUGCCGGAGGCGUAGCGAAAGCGAGUCUGAACAGGGCGAUUCAGUUGCGCGGCGUAGACCCGAAACCGGUUGAUCUAUCCAUGGCCAGGCUGAAGGUGGGGUAACACCCACUGGAGGGCCGAACCCACGCCCAUUGAAAAGGUCGGGGAUGAGCUGUGGAUAGGGGUGAAAGGCUAAACAAAACCGGAGAUAGCUGGUUCUCCUCGAAAACUAUUGAGGUAGUGCCUCGUGUAUUGCCUGCGGGGGUAGAGCACUGUUAUGGCUAGGGGGCCGCUAUAGGCUUACCAAACCAUGGCAAACUCCGAAUACCGUAGAGCCAGAGCACGGGAGACAGUCCCCGGGUGCUAACGUCCGGGGACAAGAGGGAAACAACCCAGACCGCCAGCUAAGGUCCCGAAUCUCGGCUAAGUGGAAAACGAGGUGGGAAGGCUUAGACAGUCAGGAGGUUGGCUUAGAAGCAGCCAUCCUUUAAAGAAAGCGUAAUAGCUCACUGAUCGAGUCGUCCUGCGCGGAAGAUGUAACGGGGCUCAAGCCGAGAACCGAAGCUGCGGAUCGCUGCGAUCCACUUGAACACAUUCCUAACUGAGCAAGCUCGAGGUCGAGAGCGGAUUCGGUGUGUGCGUGUGUUGAAGGGAUUGCAGCGGUGGUAGAGGAGCGUUCCCUACGCCUGCGAAGGUGGAUCGAGAGGUCUGCUGGAGGUAUGGGAAGUGCGAAUGCUGACAUGAGUAGCGAUAAAGCGGGUGAAAGGCCCGCUCGCCGAAAGCCCAAGGUUUCCUGCGCAACGUUCAUCGGCGCAGGGUGAGUCGGCCCCUAAGGUGAGGGCGAGAGCCGUAGCUGAUGGGAAUCCGGUCAAUAUUCCGGAACCGCCGACGGGUGCGAUGUGGGGACGGAGAAGGUUAUGCGAGCCGGCUGUUGGACGUGCCGGUGAAGCGUGUAGGUGGAUCCUUUAGGGAAAUCCGGAGGGUCGUUACCACCGAGGCGCGGGACCACGAGAGCUUUGCUCUCGGAAGUCGCGGAUACCCUGCUUCCAGGAAAAGCCACUAAGCUUCAGCCCGUUGGGACCGUACCGCAAACCGACACAGGUGGGCAGGAUGAAAAUUCUCAGGCGCUUGAGAGAACUCAGGAGAAGGAACUCGGCAAAUUGACACCGUAACUUCGGGAGAAGGUGUGCCGCUGGUAGGUGAGGGGGAUUUACUCUUCCGAGCCGAGAGCGGCCGCAGAGAAUCGGUGGCUGCGACUGUUUAUCAAAAACACAGCACUCUGCUAAGACGUUGGAAGUCGACGUAUAGGGUGUGACGCCUGCCCGGUGCCGGAAGGUUAAGUGAUGGGGUGCAAGCUCUUGAUCGAAGCCCCGGUAAACGGCGGCCGUAACUAUAACGGUCCUAAGGUAGCGAAAUUCCUUGUCGGGUAAGUUCCGACCCGCACGAAUGGCGUAACGAUGGCCACACUGUCUCCUCCUGAGACUCAGCGAAGUUGAAAUGUUUGUGAAGAUGCAAUCUUCCCGCGGCUAGACGGAAAGACCCCAUGAACCUUUACUGUAGCUUUGCAUUGGACUGUGACGCUGUCUGUGUAGGAUAGCUGGGAGGCUAUGAAGCCGGGUCGCUAGACUCGGUGGAGCCGACGUUGAAAUACCAGCCUGACGACGUUGCGGUUCUAACCUGGGCCCCUUGACGGGGUCGGGGACCGUGCAUGGUAGGCAGUUUGACUGGGGCGGUCUCCUCCCAAAGGGUAACGGAGGAGUGCGAAGGUCACCUAGGUACGGUCGGAAAUCGUACUCAUAGUGCAAUGGCAUAAGGUGGCUUGACUGCGAGACUGACAAGUCGAGCAGGUGCGAAAGCAGGUCAUAGUGAUCCGGUGGUUCUGUAUGGAAGGGCCAUCGCUCAACGGAUAAAAGGUACUC